RNAcentral lists this transfer RNA (73 nucleotides) under Treponema sp. RNAcentral describes it as "tRNA-Pro". It matches the Rfam family "tRNA". Rfam says of the family: Transfer RNA (tRNA) molecules are approximately 80 nucleotides in length. Lineage: Bacteria; Pseudomonadati; Spirochaetota; Spirochaetia; Treponematales; Treponemataceae. RNAcentral also lists the same sequence under 5 other names. The record is from RNAcentral.
CGGGAUGUCGCCUAGCGGCUAUGGCGUCUGCUUUGGGAGCAGAAUAUCGAUGGUUCGAGUCCAUUCAUCCCGA